This 535-nucleotide long non-coding RNA is filed under the name Struthio camelus australis. RNAcentral's name for it is "lncRNA (ENSSCUG00000018619.1)". The record is from RNAcentral. Lineage: Eukaryota; Metazoa; Chordata; Aves; Struthioniformes; Struthionidae.
GCGAUGGGAACACCUGGAAAUUUUAUAAAUCCUUAUCCAUAUUGAGGGAAGCAUGAGAAUAAGCAGCCAAUGUGAAGAUAAACUGUUGCUAUGGCAGACAAGGGACUCAUUAGCACUGUACUCUGAAUGACCAAAGAAGGAUUGAGACCUUGCUUGGAAAAGUUAUUAUAGAUGGUUGAAGGUUUAAGCCGAAGAUCGGCUGGGUUCUCUACUGUGGACUUCCCAUCUCAAGGAUGGCUCAUCUCACGGUGAAUCAUGAACUUGGGGCUUUCACAUCCAGACUUGGCCGACAAAACCAUGCACAAGAACUCCUGAUCAAAGCUGACAUUCACGAUAUGGGAGGAAAAAAACCCCAAACUUGGUAGCUAAAGUUGAAACCGGUGGAUCAGAACUGACACCAAACUCUUCUGACUUUCUCUGGUUAGUGUCAUAGCAUCUUAAUCUUUUCUGCAUACGUUAAAUAUUUUGAAGUGCUGUAUAUCCGUGGCUUCUUCUGGCUGUUUGAUGUGUUUGAAAAUCAGGGCAAGUAAUUUUC